Molecule: unclassified non-coding RNA, 314 nt
Filed under: plant metagenome
Description: partial contains 5.8S ribosomal RNA, internal transcribed spacer 2, and large subunit ribosomal RNA
Rfam family: 5.8S ribosomal RNA (bases 1-105)
Source: RNAcentral
GAAAUGCGAUAAUUAAUGUGAAUUGCAGAAUUCAGUGAAUCAUCGAGUCUUUGAACGCACAUUGCGCCCCCUGGUAUUCCGGGGGGCAUGCCUGUCCGAGCGUCAUUGCUGCCCUCAAGCACGGCUUGUGUGUUGGGCUUCCGUCCCUGGCAACGGGGACGGGCCCAAAAGGCAGUGGCGGCACCAUGUCUGGUCCUCGAGCGUAUGGGGCUUUGUCACCCGCUCCCGUAGAUCCAGCUGGCAGCUAGCCUCGCAACCAAUCUUUUUAACCAGGUUGACCUCGGAUCAGGUAGGGAUACCCGCUGAACUUAAGC